RNAcentral lists this ribosomal RNA (439 nucleotides) under Listeria monocytogenes. RNAcentral describes it as "bacterial SSU rRNA". It matches the Rfam family "Bacterial small subunit ribosomal RNA", at positions 943 to 1384 of the family's 1533-position model. Lineage: Bacteria; Bacillati; Bacillota; Bacilli; Caryophanales; Listeriaceae. The record is from RNAcentral.
GGUUUAAUUCGAAGCAACGCGAAGAACCUUACCAGGUCUUGACAUCCUUUGACCACUCUGGAGACAGAGCUUUCCCUUCGGGGACAAAGUGACAGGUGGUGCAUGGUUGUCGUCAGCUCGUGUCGUGAGAUGUUGGGUUAAGUCCCGCAACGAGCGCAACCCUUGAUUUUAGUUGCCAGCAUUUAGUUGGGCACUCUAAAGUGACUGCCGGUGCAAGCCGGAGGAAGGUGGGGAUGACGUCAAAUCAUCAUGCCCCUUAUGACCUGGGCUACACACGUGCUACAAUGGAUAGUACAAAGGGUCGCGAAGCCGCGAGGUGGAGCUAAUCCCAUAAAACUAUUCUCAGUUCGGAUUGUAGGCUGCAACUCGCCUACAUGAAGCCGGAAUCGCUAGUAAUCGUGGAUCAGCAUGCCACGGUGAAUACGUUCCCGGGCCUUGU